GACGAACGCUGGCGGUGUGCUUAAUACAUGCAAGUCGAACGGACCCUUCGGGGUUAGUGGCGGACGGCUGAGUAACACGUAGGUAAUCUGCCCUUUUCUGGGGGACAACAGUGGGAAACCGCUGCUAAUACCGCAUAAGCCCGAGGUUGCAAUACCUUUGGUUAAAGAUUUAUCGGAAAAGGAUGAGCCUGCGUCUGAUUAGCUUGUUGGUAGGGUAAAGGCCUACCAAGGCGAUGAUCAGUAGUUGGUCNGAGAGGAUGACCAG
RNAcentral lists this ribosomal RNA (265 nucleotides) under uncultured bacterium. RNAcentral's name for it is "partial 16S ribosomal RNA". It matches the Rfam family "Bacterial small subunit ribosomal RNA", at positions 28 to 307 of the family's 1533-position model. The record is from RNAcentral.